CCUACGGGUGGCAGCAGUGAGGAAUAUUGGGCAAUGGGCGCGAGCCUGAACCAGCCAAGUAGCGUGAAGGAUGACUGCCCUACGGGUUGUAAACUUCUUUUAUAAAGGAGUAAAGUGAGGCACGUGUGCCUUUUUGUAUGUACUUUAUGAAUAAGGAUCGGCUAACUCCGUGCCAGCAGCCGCGGUAAUACGGAGGCUCCGAGCGUUAGCCGGAUUUAUUGGGUUUAAAGGGAGCGUAGAUGGGUUGUUAAGUCAGUUGUGAAAGUUUGCGGCUCAACCGUAAAAUGGCAAUUGAUACUGGAAGCCUUGAGUACAGUUGAGGUAGGCGGAAUUCGUGGUGUAGCGGUGAAAUGCUUAGAUAUAACGAAGAACUCCGAUUGCGAAGGCAGCCUACUAAGCUGCCACUGACAUUGAUGCUCGAAAGUGUGGGUAUCAAACAGGAUUAGAUACCCUAGUAGUC
RNAcentral lists this ribosomal RNA (460 nucleotides) under uncultured bacterium. RNAcentral describes it as "partial 16S ribosomal RNA". It matches the Rfam family "Bacterial small subunit ribosomal RNA", at positions 338 to 795 of the family's 1533-position model. The record is from RNAcentral.